Molecule: long non-coding RNA, 4885 nt
Organism: Dunckerocampus dactyliophorus (ringed pipefish)
Lineage: Eukaryota; Metazoa; Chordata; Actinopteri; Syngnathiformes; Syngnathidae
Exons: 4
Source: RefSeq, a predicted model, not a curated record
UGGCAGCAAGUAGCGUCCGCUGUCAACAGCGUCAGUGGAACGGAGCCAGCGUGGCAGCCGUCAUGUUACGUCGUUUGUGUUCCACAGCGGAUGAAGAUGCGGAGCGUCUCAGCAAUCUUCAUCACAUACACAACAAUGGACAGGCGACAGUGCACAGUGAUAUGAAUUAGCAAUUUGUGAGGUCUGAUUUUAGGAGGCAUUUUUGUAAUGCAAAAGUAUUACGGUACUCUUUUGAACACAUAUUGUUUUGCGAAGCCAAACUCUUUACUUAAGUGGCCCCACCAAACUAAAUGGAACUACGUUCCUCAUGACUGAAAUCCGACCAGUAUUGGGCUCUCGGGACCAAGUGAAUGAACCUGCAAUAAACAAAGAAAGAUUCACUUGAUGCAGCCCAUCCUCACCCAGACUCCACCUCCAGCGGGCACCACAGUGACUCCAGACGUGACGUCAACCUCUGCCAACUCGAUCAGCACCUGCAAGGACAAGACUGUGUUUAGGUGGCAGCACUUACAGGGUGUGAAGAAGUGUUUGCCCCCUUCCUGAUUUAUUAUUUUAUUGAUGUUUGUCACACUUAAAUGUUUGAGAUCAUCAAACAAGUUAAAAUAUAAGUCAAUGACCACACAACUCAACACAAAAUGCAGUUUUUAUAGGAAACUUUUUAUUAUUACUUUUUAUUAUGGAAAAUACUCUGUGGUCUGACGAGACAAAAGUUGAACUUUUUGGAAGGUGUGUGUCCAAUUACAUCUGGCGUAAAAGUAAUGCUGCAUUUCAGGAAAAGAACAUCAUAUCAACAGUAAAAUAUGGUGGUGGUAGUGUGAUGGUUUGGGGCUGUUUUGCUGCUUCAGGACCUGGAAGACUUGCUGUGAUAAAUGGAACCAUGAAUUCUACUGUCUACCAAAAAAUCCUGAAGCAGAAUGUCCCACCAUCUGUUCAUGACCUCAAGCUGAAACCAACUUGGGUUCUGCAGCAGGACAAUGAUCCAAAACACACCAGCAAGUCCACCUCUGAAUGGCUGAAGAAAAACAAAAUGUAGACUUUGGAGUGGUCUAGUCAAAGUCCUGACCUGAAUCCUAUUGAGAUGCUGUGGCAUGACCUUAAAAAGGCGCUUCAUGCUGGAAAACCCUCCAGUGGGGCUGAAUGACAACAAUUCUGCAAAGAUGAGUGGGUCGAAAUUCCUCCACAGCGCUGUGAAAGACUCAUUGCAAGUUAUCACAAACGCUUGAUGGCAGUUGUUGCCGCUAAGGUUGGCCCAACCAGUUAUUAGCCUUAAGUUUCAUUUAAAUACUGCAUUUUGUGUUUUGUGUUCUGUUCUUCAGUUGUGUUGUCAUUGAUAUUUAAAUGUGUUUGAUGAUGUGAAAUAUUUGUGUAACAAACAUGCGAAAAAAUAAGAAAUCAAGAAGGGGCAACACUUUUUGUCGUCAUACAAGGACGUAUCACCUGUCCAAUGAGGUCAGGGCUUCUGAAGGAGGCGGAGUUAUUCUUCACUGAGACGCUGAGCUGCUUGAGCUUCACUUCCUCCACAGGCAGUUUGUAGUCAAACCUACAAGAAAGUCACCAACGAUGAUAAAGUAUGCGUUGUCGUUCGGUUCUCUGGUCUGGACUUUUGUGAACGCUACACAGACCAAAUGGAGCAGGGUAAUAAUGACAGCAAAAAGCAUGCCGAAAAUACAAAUACAGUAUGUUGGUGAAAUCUACGAUGGUAAACGCAGCAGAAAACAAAAACUGCCCAAUCAUGCGUACGAGUAAAGAACCUCCAGUUGACUCCGUUACCUCUCGUUAAAUUCAGGGUUGAGAUCUCGUUUCUUGACGGUCGUCUUCUUCUUGGUGGCUUUGCUUUUGUCCGGCAGCAGCAAGAGGGUGACGUAGCUGUCCAGCGCGUCCUUGCUGGUGCACAACAAACCUCUGUGUGCACACAAAGACAGCAUUUAGCAAACGUCCAGUCGCCCUGUUCAUUAUUGUAUGUUAGAAUGAGGCUUUCUGUGGAGUCAUUCAAGUCUUCACUCUUUAUCUCGUCCUUUAAAUGUUCCCCUCUUCAAUAUCCUCAAAUAGGGGCUUUGGCUUUACGCAAAGUCCACAAAGGACAAAUAUAGCCCCCCUAAUGGAGGUCAAAUUCCUUGAUCUUUCUGAACAUAUUGUUAUAGAACACUACUAACACACUGACUCAUCUAAAAAAGGCUGCGUUUUGUGAGUUGCUGUGGUAGAGCCCAGGAUAAUUGUGCCAUACUUUUCUUUAGACGCUUACUUGGCACUGAGCAGAGGUCACCGUGUGCCCGUGUUAAUGCUGUGGAACUCCACCACUGUAAUGAUGAAGUUAACAAUAAUACAACACAUCAACAUAAACACACCCAUUUUUCAUUUUUCGUGCAAAAUAAAUUAACAGAAUUUUAAAAAAUGGUCUGGGCUUGGAAUCGAACAAGGACACGCUGCCUUAAAAGGCAGCAGAUCUACCUUUACACCUACUCCAACGAGCACCGUGGCAGAUUACUCGUCUUGUUUUUUGCCUGGGGGCCAAAUUGCGACACACGGCCCAUUCUAAUUUAACAAGCAAACAACAGCAAAAACUCUGCAGUAAUUUGACAAAAAUAAAGUCAAAAUAUUAAGAGAAAAAAGGUGUAAUCUAACGAGAAAAAGACAGAAUUGUAUGAAAAUAAUGUAAUAUUAUGAGGAAAAAAUGUCAUUUUAGCCGAUAAAUGAAAUGAAAUGAAAUAUUAAAGCAAGAAAUAUGUAUUUUUUUAAGUCUAGAAAAAUUUGGUAGAAAAUUAGGAUGGGGAAAAGUUAUAAUAUAAAAAUUAGGUGAAAAUAUUAUGGAAAUAAAGUCAUAAUAUUGCAAGAACAAAAAUUACAAGAAGAAAGUUGAAACAUUAAUACAUAUUAAUAAAAAUGAGGCAGUAUUCUAAUGAGAAAAAAAGUUUGAAUUUUGGGAGAAUAAAUGUGUAAUAUUAUGAGGAAAAAUAAUGUCAUUUUAGUGGCAUAGAAUUAAAAUAUUAAAGAAUUUUUUUUAAGUUGUAAUAUUAUGAAAAAUAAAGUUGUCAUUUUUGGAAAAUUAGGUUUGGGAAAAAGUGAUAAUAUGGGAAUAAAGUCAAAACAUUGUGGGAAUAAAAUCAUAAUACUACGAGAGGAAAAUGUAUAAAUAUUAUUUAAGAAGAAAGUUGAAAUAUUUGGAAAACAGCAAAAUGGGAAAACAGAAGAGCGUGAAGUUGAUCGUAAUAAAAGGCUUUUUCACCAUCAGGAUGUCACAAAGCUGAGAUGAUUUGGUUUUCUUGAAAUCCAUGUAACUUCUUAGCGUACAGGAUCUACAUGGUUGCUUUACAAAAUAUCAAAGUGGCAAAGUCGCAUCCUUUCAUUUUUCACCAUUCAGUCCAAAAGUUUGGACACCCCUGCCUUCCACCAUGCGCAUCCUUUGAGCAUUUCAAGAGAAUGCGCUCCCUUGCUCAAAACAAGUCGCAGCGCCCUGUUAGCAUCCCUGACCAUGUGUGUCGACUCAAGCAGGCACUUUUUAGUCAUGAGAAGACCACGGUGGCGAGGACGGCAGUACAUUGAUGUGUUCUCUCCUGCGUCACCUUUCAUGUUUUCCUGGCAUAAUUUGCUAACACGGUUCUGGUACUGGAUCUCAUUGGACGGUGCAAAAGUGUGAGCCCAAAGUAAACGCCCACCUGCAGGCAUGGAUGACGACGCUCAACUUGCUGUCUUGUGAGUCAUAGGAAAGCGACAACUUCACCUGCCCGUUCCCAGAUCCACUACCAGGAGCCGCACAAGGCAGCGUCCCACUACAGAUCAUCUCCACCAUUCUGGACUCCAGAACCUGUUAAAAACAAGAGAUGUCCACUACUGUAGUGCAUUAUGUGUACUACACAUAUACAGUAUUGUAUAAGUACUAUACAUAUGUACUAUAGCAUGCUUUGUAUUUUCCCGACGAUAAGUCACAAUUUUUUUCAGUUUGGCUGGUCCUAAUUAAACAUGUGCUGCCUUUAAGUUAAAGUGGGGUGGUGGUUGUUUUUUUGGCGACACCUAGUGGCCGCAAUAAUUCACUGAGUUGAGGUUGUGACACAGUUAGGCACACAAAUUGAAAGAUAUGGAGUAUACCGGACGCUUUUUCUUCUGGAAUACUUUCUAAUACACUUCUGCCUUGGAGACUGUGUAAGGAUGUCUGUAAGUAAUGUGCAACUAUUCUGAAGCGAGUGACCCAUCUGUUUGAGUUAUGUUUUCAUGCCCACCUUCAGCUGAAGCCUCAGCAGGACCUUACUGUCAGCCGCUGCUCCAUCCAAGCGGAACCACUGAUCCAGGACCAGCUGUGGCUCAGCCAGCAGCUCCUUGACGGAGACCACCAGCGAACCCAUCGGCUGGUCCCAGCCGCUGGAAAACUGGAAUGCAAGAAAACAUAACAAAUUCCAACAUGAGCAAUGUUAUAUUACUAUUAACAGGACCACACGUACACACAACAAAAAGGUUUUUGUGAUGUUCGGUGUGUCCCUGAAUGCAUCUCGCAGUAGCGACAAUGCGGAAGUCCCAUUCCGAGGCUGACCGGACGAGAGAUGUGUUUGUGAGUUGGAGACAUGCUGUGUAUGCUGUUGGGAUUGCACUGCUGUUGGUGUGUUCAGGUCAGAAUAAAGUUAUUAAAGAGUGGCAGACUGUGGGGAGCUAGACUGUGCCGCCGUCUGUCGCCAUAAUGGAGAGGCGUGGCUUGCCAUGAUAUGUAUACGUUAAUUACGCACAAAAAAACAUAUAACAUAUAAAAUAUAUAAUGUAAUACAGUAUGUAUUACAUUAUGUAUUUUUAUUAUUAUUAUAUUAUUCGGAUAAUAUUAUCAAAGUUAAGAGUGAAAAUGUCGUAUUGCUUUACCUUGAGCACAAGCAUCUGCUGUUUUGGGUCACGCACCAGGAAGUAG